GAUGAACGCUGGCGGCGUGCUUAACACAUGCAAGUCGAACGAUGAAGCCCAGCUUGCUGGGUGAUUAGUGGCGAACGGGUGAGUAACACGUGAGUAACCUGCCCUUAACUCUGGGAUAAGCCUGGGAAACUGGGUCUAAUACCGGAUAGGAGCGCCUACCGCAUGGUGGGUGUUGGAAAGAUUUAUCGGUUUUGGAUGGACUCGCGGCCUAUCAGCUUGUUGGUGAGGUAAUGGCUCACCAAGGCGACGACGGGUAGCCGGCCUGAGAGGGUGACCGGCCACACUGGGACUGAGACACGGCCCAGACUCCUACGGGAGGCAGCAGUGGGGAAUAUUGCACAAUGGGCGAAAGCCUGAUGCAGCGACGCCGCGUGAGGGAUGACGGCCUUCGGGUUGUAAACCUCUUUCAGUAGGGAAGAAGCGAAAGUGACGGUACCUGCAGAAGAAGCACCGGCUAACUACGUG
This 465-nucleotide ribosomal RNA is filed under the name uncultured bacterium. RNAcentral's name for it is "partial 16S ribosomal RNA". It matches the Rfam family "Bacterial small subunit ribosomal RNA", at positions 28 to 507 of the family's 1533-position model. The record is from RNAcentral.